UACGUAGGGUUCAAGCGUUAUCCGGAUUUAUUGGGCGUAAAGCACAUGUAGGUGGAUUGAUAGGUCUUCUUUUAAAGCUCUGGGCUCAACCCAGAAUCUGGAGGAGAUACCAUCUUUCUAGUGGUCAGCAGGGGCAAACAGAAUUCCCGGUGUAGGAGUGAAAUCCGUUGAUAUCGGGAGGAAUACCAAUGGCGAAGGCAGUUUGCUAGGCUGAUUCAGACACUGAGAUGUGAAAGCGUGGGGAGCGAAC
This 250-nucleotide ribosomal RNA is filed under the name uncultured bacterium. RNAcentral describes it as "partial 16S ribosomal RNA". It matches the Rfam family "Bacterial small subunit ribosomal RNA", at positions 524 to 773 of the family's 1533-position model. The record is from RNAcentral.